AAAAACAUGGCUUUUUGAUAAUAAUUUAAAGUCUGACCUGCCCACUGAGUUUUAAAUGGCCGCAGUAUCCUGACUGUGCAAAGGUAGCAUAAUCAUUAGUUUUUUAAUUGAAAGCUUGUAUGAAAGGUCGGAUGAAAAAAUAGCUGUCUCUAUAAAAAUUUAUUAGAACUUUAUUUUUAAGUAAAAAAGCUUAAAUAAUAAUGGAAGACGAGAAGACCCUAUAGAGUUUUAUAUUUAUUUAAUUUGGGACUUUUAGUAUUUUAACUUUUUUUUUAUUAUAUUAUUUGGUUGGGGUGAUUGAGAAAUUAAAUAAACUUUCUUUUUAUUUAUACAUUUAUUUAUGAGAAAAUGAUCCUUAUUUAGAGAUUAAAAGAUUAAAUUACCUUAGGGAUAACAGCGUAAUUUUUUUUGAGAGCCCAAAUCGAAAGAAAAGAUUGCGACCUCGAUGUUGGAUUAAAUUAAAUUUCUGGUGUAGAAGCUAGAACAAUUAGGUCUGUUCGACCUUUAAAAUUUUACUUGAUCUGAGUU
This 528-nucleotide ribosomal RNA is filed under the name Coeliodes ruber. RNAcentral describes it as "partial 16S ribosomal RNA". It matches the Rfam family "Bacterial large subunit ribosomal RNA", at positions 1809 to 2611 of the family's 2925-position model. The record is from RNAcentral. Lineage: Eukaryota; Metazoa; Arthropoda; Insecta; Coleoptera; Curculionidae. RNAcentral also lists the same sequence under 1 other name.